GAUGAACGCUGGCGGCGUGCCUAAUACAUGCAAGUCGAGCGAACAGACGAGGAGCUUGCUCCUCUGACGUUAGCGGCGGGCGGGUGAGUAACACGUGGAUAACCUACCUAUAAGACUGGGAUAACUUCGGGAAACCGGAGCUAAUACCGGAUAAUAUAUUGAACCGCAUGGUUCAAUAGUGAAAGACGGUUUUGCUGUCACUUAUAGAUGGAUCCGCGCCGCAUUAGCUAGUUGGUAAGGUAACGGCUUACCAAGGCAACGAUGCGUAGCCGACCUGAGAGGGUGAGCGGCCACACUGGAACUGAGACACGGUCCAGACUCCUACGGGAGGCAGCAGUAGGGAAUCUUCCGCAAUGGGCGAAAGCCUGACGGAGCAACGCCGCGUGAGUGAUGAAGGUCUUCGGAUCGUAAAACUCUGUUAUUAGGGAAGAACAAAUGUGUAAGUAACUAUGCACGUCUUGACGGUACCUAAUCAGAAAGCCACGGCUAACUACGUG
This 497-nucleotide ribosomal RNA is filed under the name uncultured bacterium. RNAcentral's name for it is "partial 16S ribosomal RNA". It matches the Rfam family "Bacterial small subunit ribosomal RNA", at positions 28 to 507 of the family's 1533-position model. The record is from RNAcentral.